GGGAAACAAAGAAGCCACAUGUCAAGUUUUUUCGAAUUCCACGUGACCCAAGGUCAAAAGCAUGGCUACAGUACGCCAGACGUCCUGAGCUCCUAGGAAAGACAGCCAAGGAGCUCUAUGAGGGGUAUCGCCUGUGUAGUGAGCAUUUCACAGCCAAGGACUUUUUGGAUCCUGGGAAGACAAGGCUGACCAAAACGGCUAUCCCUACGGUUCGGCCGCAAAUGCUUAGGCCAUCUGUAACAGCCCAAGGUAACAUAAUCUUUAUUUGCAGUCUGUACGGAGUUCUGUUAUAUUUUGCUUUUAGGCAGCACCAACUCUACGUCACUGAUGCCAGCUGCCAGCAUGCUGUCAACGAUGCUUGACAGUCUCAAAAGUUUUAAUCUGAUUUAAUUAGUUUUUAUUAUUAGUUUGUGCUUAAAUAUUUUAUCUAAUUCAUUUAGCAUUUUUGUACAUUAUCCCUGUAAUGUCCCUGCGCAUACUGUUGCCCAUAACCAAUAUCCGUCCCAGUUUGUUGGAAAAUUGUUUUAAAGCACAAGGUCAGCUGCAUUGAAAUACAGUAAUUUGUGUCCUGCAAUCAAGAAGGGCAGUUCUGCCAGUGCAGUAUGACUUCUUACAGGGCAUCCUAGGUUUGUAGCAUACAAUAGUGAUAUAAAUGAAAGAUAAGGCAGGUCAACGUUCCCCUGUUCAUAUCCAAUUCGACAAGAGGACUCAUGCCGUCUGAGUCAUCUUCCUGACACUCAUGUUUACAAGGUUAGCUUUAGUUGCCCAUGCUGUUAUGUUCUCAUACAUUAGCAUACCGGGCCGUUAAAAUUUAAGAUAUUCCGAGAUUCCUAAGUGCCUUUUCAAGACCCGCCGGAUCCUGUGUUUCGCCAUUGAUUAAUAUUGCUCAACAUUAAUUUUCAUCACUAAGGGAUUUCAAUGCCCUUUCAGAGUGCUGAAUAUUUUCUGUUCCUUUGAAAGGUAACACUACUAACCUAUCAUUCGCCUGUAGCAGGAAUUCUCCAUCAGAAGCUUUAUAAGCAGGUAUUCAUAUCUGAGAAGCCAAAAUUUUUCAGAAGAACCGGUGGCAACAACAUGCCCCUGUGACGUUCCAUUGGAGGGAAACAGAAGGUCGCAUCCCACAGCAGCUUAUGAAAAGCCAAUAGCGGAACCAAGCCCCGGGGAUGUUCGAUUGGAGGGCAGCAGAACGUCGCCUUCAACAGCUGCUCAUGAAGGACCGAUGGUGGCACCAAGCCCCGGGAAUGUUCCAUUGGAGGGUAGUGGAACGUCACAUUUGGCAGCUGCUCAUAAACAACCGCUGGCGGCACCAAGCCCCGGUAAUGUUCCCUUGGAGGGCAGUGGAAUGUCACCUUCAACAGCUGCUCGUGGUGAGAUCAUUUAUUUUAAAACAGGGGCUCAUACCUGACAAGCAAAUGUCGUUCAGAAGGGCCGAUGGCGGCACCAAGCCCAGGGAAUGUUCCAAUGGAAAGCAGCGGAACGUCACCCUUGGCAGCUGUUCAUGAAGAACCGGUGGCGACAUGUCCCUGUGACGUUCCAUUGGAGGGAAGCAGAACGUCGCAUCCCACAGCAGCUUCUGAAAAGCCGAUGGCGGAACCAAGCCCCGGGGAUGUUCGAAUGGAAGGCAGUGGAACGUCACCUUCGGCAGCUGCUCAUGGUGAGAUCAUUUCUUUUAAAACAGCUGCUCAUAUCUGACAAGCAACCG
This is an RNA transcript of Ixodes scapularis (black-legged tick), 1702 nucleotides long. RefSeq lists it as uncharacterized. The transcript is spliced from 7 exons. The record is from RefSeq and is a predicted model, not a curated record. Lineage: Eukaryota; Metazoa; Arthropoda; Arachnida; Ixodida; Ixodidae.